UACGUAGGGUGCGAGCGUUGUCCGGAUUUAUUGGGCGUAAAGAGCUCGUAGGCGGUCUGUCGCGUCGGAUGUGAAAACCCAGGGCUCAACCCUGGGCCUGCAUUCGAUACGGGCAGACUAGAGUACGGCAGGGGAGACUGGAAUUCCUGGUGUAGCGGUGAAAUGCGCAGAUAUCAGGAGGAACACCGGUGGCGAAGGCGGGUCCCUGGGCCGAAACUGACGCUGAGGAGCGAAAGCGUGGGGAGCGAACAGG
RNAcentral lists this ribosomal RNA (253 nucleotides) under uncultured bacterium. RNAcentral describes it as "partial 16S ribosomal RNA". It matches the Rfam family "Bacterial small subunit ribosomal RNA", at positions 524 to 776 of the family's 1533-position model. The record is from RNAcentral.